This 397-nucleotide ribosomal RNA is filed under the name uncultured bacterium. Its description in RNAcentral is "bacterial SSU rRNA". It matches the Rfam family "Bacterial small subunit ribosomal RNA", at positions 30 to 412 of the family's 1533-position model. The record is from RNAcentral.
AGUGAACGCUGGCGGCAGGCCUAACACAUGCAAGUCGAGCGGCAGCGCGUCCGACCACCCUCGGGUGGUCGGAUGGCGGCGAGCGGCGGACGGGUGAGGAAUGCAUCGGAAUCUGCCUCGUUGUGGGGGAUAACGUAGGGAAACUUACGCUAAUACCGCAUACGACCUACGGGUGAAAGUGGGGGACCUUCGGGCCUCACGCGAUGAGAUGAGCCGAUGCCGGAUUAGCUAGUUGGCGGGGUAAAGGCCCACCAAGGCGACGAUCCGUAGCUGGUCUGAGAGGAUGAUCAGCCACACUGGAACUGAGACACGGUCCAGACUCCUACGGGAGGCAGCAGUGGGGGAAUAUUGGACAAUGGGGGCAACCCUGAUCCAGCCAUGCCGCGUGCAGGAAGAA